This 435-nucleotide ribosomal RNA is filed under the name uncultured Paracoccaceae bacterium. RNAcentral's name for it is "bacterial SSU rRNA". It matches the Rfam family "Bacterial small subunit ribosomal RNA", at positions 925 to 1382 of the family's 1533-position model. Lineage: Bacteria; Pseudomonadati; Pseudomonadota; Alphaproteobacteria; Rhodobacterales; Paracoccaceae. The record is from RNAcentral.
ACAAGCGUGGAGCAUGUGGUUUAAUUCGAAGCAACGCGCAGAACCUUACCAACCCUUGACAUGGGUAUCGCGGGACCAGAGAUGGUCCUUUCAGUUCGGCUGGAUACCACACAGGUGCUGCAUGGCUGUCGUCAGCUCGUGUCGUGAGAUGUUCGGUUAAGUCCGGCAACGAGCGCAACCCACACUCUUAGUUGCCAUCAUUUGGUUGGGCACUCUAGGAGAACUGCCGGUGAUAAGCCGGAGGAAGGUGUGGAUGACGUCAAGUCCUCAUGGCCCUUACGGGUUGGGCUACACACGUGCUACAAUGGUGGUGACAAUGGGUUAAUCCCAAAAAGCCAUCUCAGUUCGGAUUGGGGUCUGCAACUCGACCCCAUGAAGUCGGAAUCGCUAGUAAUCGCGUAACAGCAUGACGCGGUGAAUACGUUCCCGGGCCUU